UGGGGAAUAUUGGACAAUGGGCGAAAGCCUGAUCCAGCAAUACCGAGUGAGUGAUGAAGGCCCUAGGGUUGUAAAGCUCUUUUAGCAAGGAAGAUAAUGACGUUACUUGCAGAAAAAGCCCCGGCUAACUCCGUGCCAGCAGCCGCGGUAAGACGGAGGGGGCUAGCGUUGUUCGGAAUUACUGGGCGUAAGGAGUGCGUAGGCGGUUUAGUAAGUUGGAAGUGAAAGCCCGGGGCUUAACCUCGGAAUUGCUUUCAAAACUACUAAUCUAGAGUGUAGUAGGGGAUGAUGGAAUUCCUAGUGUAGAGGUGAAAUUCUUAGAUAUUAGGAGGAACACCGGUGGCGAAGGCGGUCAUCUGGGCUACAACUGACGCUGAUGCACGAAAGCGUGGGGAGCAAACA
This 402-nucleotide ribosomal RNA is filed under the name uncultured bacterium. RNAcentral describes it as "bacterial SSU rRNA". It matches the Rfam family "Bacterial small subunit ribosomal RNA", at positions 355 to 774 of the family's 1533-position model. The record is from RNAcentral.